GGAGGAGUCGGAUAGUGGUUUAUUCCAGCGGUUUCGAAAACCGCCAUGCCGAAAGGCAUCGUGAGUUCGAAUCUCACCUCCUCCG
Molecule: transfer RNA, 85 nt
Filed under: Candidatus Kaiserbacteria bacterium RIFCSPHIGHO2_01_FULL_50_13
Lineage: Bacteria; Candidatus Kaiseribacteriota
Also listed under: 3 other names
Description: tRNA-Ser
Rfam family: tRNA
About the family: Transfer RNA (tRNA) molecules are approximately 80 nucleotides in length.
Source: RNAcentral